This 579-nucleotide ribosomal RNA is filed under the name Salmonella enterica. RNAcentral's name for it is "partial 23S ribosomal RNA". It matches the Rfam family "Bacterial large subunit ribosomal RNA", at positions 610 to 1190 of the family's 2925-position model. Lineage: Bacteria; Pseudomonadati; Pseudomonadota; Gammaproteobacteria; Enterobacterales; Enterobacteriaceae. The record is from RNAcentral.
GUAUAAUGGGUCAGCGACUUAUAUUCUGUAGCAAGGUUAACCGAAUAGGGGAGCCGGAGGGAAACCGAGUCUUAACCGGGCGUUAAGUUGCAGGGUAUAGACCCGAAACCCGGUGAUCUAGCCAUGGGCAGGUUGAAGGUUGGGUAACACUAACUGGAGGACCGAACCGACUAAUGUUGAAAAAUUAGCGGAUGACCUGUGGCUGGGGGUGAAAGGCCAAUCAAACCGGGAGAUAGCUGGUUCUCCCCGAAAGCUAUUUAGGUAGCGCCUCGUGAAUUCAUCUCCGGGGGUAGAGCACUGUUUCGGCUAGGGGGCCAUCCCGGCUUACCAACCCGAUGCAAACUGCGAAUACCGGAGAAUGUUAUCACGGGAGACACACGGCGGGUGCUAACGUCCGUCGUGAAGAGGGAAACAACCCAGACCGCCAGCUAAGGUCCCAAAGUCAUGGUUAAGUGGGAAACGAUGUGGGAAGGCCCAGACAGCCAGGAUGUUGGCUUAGAAGCAGCCAUCAUUUAAAGAAAGCGUAAUAGCUCACUGGUCGAGUCGGCCUGCGCGGAAGAUGUAACGGGGCUAAACCAU